Molecule: long non-coding RNA, 1712 nt
Organism: Puntigrus tetrazona (Sumatra barb)
Lineage: Eukaryota; Metazoa; Chordata; Actinopteri; Cypriniformes; Cyprinidae
Exons: 5
Source: RefSeq, a predicted model, not a curated record
UCAUCUGUGGAUGACCGAUCGCCUCUAAGCUCUCAUAUUCGCUAAUCACAGCAGUGUGUUUACAUUCGCCUUCAUCACCUUCCUGCGAGCGUUCAAUAUCACAACCGCAGUGCAAUAAUUCAGCAAAAAGGAGUGGGAAGGAGGCUAAUUUGUUUUUUUUAUUAUCCGUCUCAGUGACGGCUUACUGGGUGGGAUUUGCGCGGCCGUUGAAGAAAUCCUUCGAAUAAUAGCUAAAGUGUAUGCGUGUGUCGUUUUGCUGUACGUGUGGAUGCGUGCCAACGAAGCCGCGUCUCUCAUCUGACAGCGGCGUGAUAAACGUCACUUCUUCUCGUGUUUUAAUCAAGCUGAAAGACAAUGCGCCGGCAUCCCCGUGACACGCUCGCAUAUCCUCGUGCAUGUUUUCCUCGGCCGAUCUCAGUUGACUGGACGCGGAUCGAAUACGUGUGUUUAGUAACAGAAUGUAUCUUCCCACCCUGCAGCAGCGUCGAGUGCAGCUCUGUCCUGUUCAACCCACACACAAAAGUUGAUCCCCACGCGUUUGAUUUAGCAAAGAUAAUCACAAGGCCUGCAGCUCGCGGAGAGAAAGAGAGAUCAGUCUUAUCUCGCCCAACAGAUCCUCACACAGCAGGUUUAUCUAAACUCGCAGUUGAUUCAUCCAUCUGUGAUGAUUAUGAUUUUGUCAUCAUUCCUGGCUAUUCUUUUUAAAGCUCUGGGGAUAUUUGUGAAUUGAAGCCCACAUGAGGCGCUUGGCUGCGUGUACAUGAUUAAACUCCAUUCGUCUGACAUGGCUAAUGUAUCUUCUGCCCGCUGACAGGUAUCCUGCAUUGCGUUCCCAACUGAAACUGAUGGAGUAAGACUUAAACCGCCCGCAUUCAUCAGGAGCCAACUUCAAUUUACAACCCGUUAAAAGAAGAAAAGAGCGAUCUUUAUCUCGAGGACAAGAGGCAUUCUUCAGAGUUAAACAGACAAUGAGCUUCAGCCAUUUUGAGGCACUUGGAGGUCGUUUGUGGACCGCACGGAAAAUGAGAAGAUCAUGGUCAAAGUCAGGACCAUACCCACCUUUGAGGUCCCAACCGGUUGAGUGAUCUCCAGCAGCUGUGACAUCAGAAAGCGAUCAGCCCCCUGCUGCAGCGGCGUGACAUGCGAGAGCUGGACGCAUGCCGACCUCACCUCUACCUCCAACCGCAGCCGCUGUUACUAUGGCAGCUCUGCGCAGACAGACGCAGGACAUCUCCAUCCAUUCUUUGCGCUGCUCACGAAAGCUGCCGGUGUCUUCUUAAACUUCUUUUUAAAGGAUCUUCCGAAGUCAAAUGGCAGCUUGGGGUGAGGAAAACACUGACAUGGCAUGAGGCACUGAUGGAAAGCUCACUACUGAUUUCAUCUGAAGCGCUGGAAGGCCAGUGUCACAUAUUAGAACGUCCCAAAGGUCACUUCAGUCACCCGAUGGAGAGCAUCUCACUGACAGAUACUCGUCCACCCACAGACAAACCUCUGUUACUUCACUCCUUUUACUGAGGUGUGCAGCUAGCAUUUCCCAGCCAUGUUUUAAAACAUAAACGUGUUUCAGCAUGAGUUUUUGGGAGGACCUGUUUGCUCUGGAAGCAUCAUCUGAUUCGAUGGACACUGGACUAUUUUUGUCAAAUAUUAUUUCACUGUUUAGUAGAAGACUGUGCUUUUAGAUUCAGCACUGCAGUAAUGAAAAAAACAAACAA